Molecule: ribosomal RNA, 591 nt
Filed under: Triticum aestivum (bread wheat)
Lineage: Eukaryota; Viridiplantae; Streptophyta; Magnoliopsida; Poales; Poaceae
Description: partial small subunit ribosomal RNA
Source: RNAcentral
AUGAUGUUCACACCUUUGGUUGAUCCUAGUGAGCAUGCUGAGUUAGUUGCUGAUCUACACAUGACCUGGUCUAGCCGUUGGUCAGAGUCAUAUGGUGUGAGGGUGCCAAAAGGAAUUGGCAAACUAAAAGAGCUACAAAUACUAGAGGUUGUGGACAUUGGACGAACUGGAUGCAAAACAAUUAAAGAGCUAGGUGAGCUUGUGCAGCUGAGAAAACUAAGCAUGGUAAUAGAAGGGGCCACCAAGCGAAAAUUCAAGGUACUUUGUGAAUCCAUUACGAAGCUCACUUCCCUCCGCUCUCUUGAAGUGGACGGUUCACUCAAGUGGCUGCAUGUUGUUUCCUGUCCUCCUCCCCAGUUGAGGACCCUGAAGUUGGGUGGAUGCCUUGGAGAUAUUCCUGGCUGGUUUGGCAAUCUGAUGCAUUUAGUCAAGCUUUACUUAUGGGAUUCCAAACUAAAGGAAGAAGGAAAAAAUCAUGGAAAUACUAGGUUCACUUCCCAGCCUCAUGAAACUUCGUCUUGGACUGGACUCUUAUAUUGGGGAGAAGUUAGCGUUCAAAACAGGAGCAUUUGCAAAUCUCAAGAAACUUGA